RNAcentral lists this ribosomal RNA (372 nucleotides) under uncultured organism. RNAcentral's name for it is "bacterial SSU rRNA". It matches the Rfam family "Bacterial small subunit ribosomal RNA", at positions 526 to 896 of the family's 1533-position model. The record is from RNAcentral.
CAGAGGGUGCAAGCGUUGCUCGGAAUCAUUGGGCGUAAAGGGCAAGUAGGUGGUCUCAUUUGUCUAGGGUGAAAUCCUUGAGCUUAACUCAAGAAGUGCCCUAGAAACGGUGGGACUAGAGUUCUGGAGAGGGUCGUGGAAUUCCCGGUGUAGCGGUGAAAUGCGUAGAGAUCGGGAGGAACACCAGAGGCGAAGGCGGCGACCUGGACAGACACUGACACUCAACUGCGAAAGCGUGGGGAGCAAACAGGAUUAGAUACCCUGGUAGUCCACGCUGUAAACGAUGGGAACUAGGUUUGAUGGGUCUUGACCCCCGUCGAACCGGCGCUAACGCACUAAGUUCCCCGCCUGGGAAGUACGGUCGCAAGACUA